This 503-nucleotide ribosomal RNA is filed under the name uncultured bacterium. RNAcentral describes it as "partial 16S ribosomal RNA". It matches the Rfam family "Bacterial small subunit ribosomal RNA", at positions 30 to 523 of the family's 1533-position model. The record is from RNAcentral.
AUUGAACGCUGGCGGCAGGCUUAACACAUGCAAGUCGAGCGGGGUGAUGGUGCUUGGACUAUCACUUAGCGGCGGACGGGUGAGUAAUGCUUAGGAAUCUGCCUAUUAGUGGGGGACAACAUCUCGAAAGGGAUGCUAAUACCGCAUACGUCCUACGGGAGAAAGCAAGGGAUCACUUGUGACCUUGCGCUAAUAGAUGAGCCUAAGUCGGAUUAGCUAGUUGGUGGGGUAAAGGCCUACCAAGGCGACGAUCUGUAGCGGGUCUGAGAGGAUGAUCCGCCACACUGGGACUGAGACACGGCCCAGACUCCUACGGGAGGCAGCAGUGGGGAAUAUUGGACAAUGGGGGGAACCCUGAUCCAGCCAUGCCGCGUGUGUGAAGAAGGCCUUAUGGUUGUAAAGCACUUUAAGCGAGGAGGAGGCUCUUUUGGUUAAUACCCAAGAUGAGUGGACGUUACUCGCAGAAUAAGCACCGGCUAACUCUGUGCCAGCAGCCGCCGUAA